RNA transcript from Mustela erminea (ermine), 2581 nucleotides. RefSeq lists it as uncharacterized. The transcript is spliced from 9 exons. The record is from RefSeq and is a predicted model, not a curated record. Lineage: Eukaryota; Metazoa; Chordata; Mammalia; Carnivora; Mustelidae.
CCGGAAGCGGAAGCCGCGCCGAGAGGCUCGUGUCAGUGGAAGUCGGGGUGUCGGCUGGCCGCGGUGGGAAGGCCUAGCGGUGCCUGCGGGAGGUGGAAAAGGAGGGGGGUCAGAGGUCAGUCCACAGAGAAGGUGGCGAGCUGAAGCGGCGGCCAGUUCCGUGGCGGACCUGCGGGUCUCAGCUGGCACGUCACUUCCGACUGGUUGAGUUUUAGCCUUUCCAGGAUUAGGUAACCAUUCCGAGGAGGAAGAGUAUUUCAAAAGUCUGUGAAGAAUGUGUUUGCCUGGAGACUGAUCAUUAACAAGAUUUUAUGCUGAGUAUGGAAGGAAAGGUGCAGAACCAAACUAUGCAGUACAACUCUGGGUGUGCACUCUCAUCAGCUUGUUUAACCCUGAGGAGUUCAGGGUUCUGUACUGUUCCUCUUUUUUCCUGUGGCCAUCACCCCUUUAAGGAUGUCAUCUCUGGUCAGAGGCCAGGAAGAAGACUGGUUAUGGUAUCCAGAGAAAUAUCCUAGUACUGUACCAAAAUGAACUGUUAACUGAAGAACUGUUAACUGAAGACAUGGCUGUAUUGGAAAACAAAGAAAGGAUAUGUAGGGGUAGUGGACCAAACUUCUGGAGGUCUAUCUACAUCAGGGAAUUGCCCCUGACUUUCAACUGCUGGGGAUCAGGUCCCCAAUGGAGGAAUGUAAAGUCUCGCUCCUUUGAUUACGGACCCUAACACCGCCCACUUCUGGAAGGUUCCAUCCCCUGCAGACCUGGUCUCCACAAGCUCUGUGUCCUGGGUCAGAUCCUCCUCAGCAUGCUGCCAGGUCAGAGUGAUCUCCACAGGGUAGAAGCCCAGGGCUCAGCACCUCAGGGCGACAUCAUGGUCCGAGAUGGGGUGGCGGGUCACAUGUGUGUUGGGGGGUUCUGGGGAAGAAGAAUCAGAAAAUCUACACUUUGGGUUACCUUCAUGGGUCACAAAACAGCACUUGUCACCAACCUGAGGAUGGAAAAGACAAUUGGUUUAGGGAUCUGAAAUAAUGUUUUAGAAGCAGGGAGAGAUUCCAGGACAGGAGAGUGGAGGUCUAAAGUGGGGAAUACACUAAUGGUCCUGACUGUGGGGGACCAUCAGUGACUCAGAAAACCUGGAGUCAGACCUCCAAGGAUGUUCUCAGAUGGAGUACAAGUCUUGAGAGGGAAAGUCAUGGAUUACAAGGUGAUUGCCAGGAUGGAGGGGACCAUUUCAGGGAUGUUCUCCAAUUGCCCCCCAGGAGAGACUGGAUUCCUCAAUUGUCCUUUAGAGAAAAGUGGUCCUCUGGGUGAGUCACUCUCUAGUAGAAAAAUGAACACACAAGUGGAUCUCGCUCUCCUCACCUGUGGGAGGGCAGUGUUCUGAUAUUGAGUCCAUUUCCCUUCCUGGUGGAAAGCCAGCCCCAGAGGAGGGGAGAUCAGGGAGGCCCUAGUACCUGUGCGCAGCAGCAUCUCCUCCCCCUUCUCCAGGUGCCUGUGGAGCCACUCCACGCAUCUGUGCUCCAUGUAGUUCCUGUACUGCUCUGUCACACCAGUCGCCUCCCACUUCUGACCAGUGAUCUGUGCGGUGGAGUCUGCCUUGGUCCAGGAGCACAGGUCCUUAUUCAGGGUGAUGUGAUCCAUGCCAUCAUAGGCAUCAUGAAGGUACCCGCGCAGAAAGCACCCAUCAGGCCCCACGUCGCAGCCCAUCACUCUCUGGAAGGCAGGGAGAGCACGACAUUUGGCGCCGAAACCCGGGAAUUGACGACCACAAAGGAAAGGUUAGAAGUUUGCUGAAGAGCAACCACAAAGGGACAGCAGCUGUAUGUUCGCGGAUCGCGACUGUAAAGCGAACCUCUCCCGAAAAUUAUCUCAGAUGCUCAACGGCACCUGGUCAGCCAAAUUCCACAAUCUGACAGCCUCCCUCCAGAUGGAGAUUCUGCAGAUCAAUGCCACGAGAGUCAACCCUCUCACGGCCUCCCAAUUCCUACAAACUAUGCAGGCAGUGGUGGCUUUUGGGAAAUCCUGGUUUGGGACUAUUGCACUCGGCUGUAUUGUGCUCUUCGUCCUCCUCCUGGCGCUGCGUUGGAUAAGGGCCCUCCAACACACAUUAGCCAGAGACCGGCAGGCUGUACAUCAAGUCUUGGUAGCCAUAGAGCAUGAGCUCACCCCAAGUAUGGCUUAGCAUGCUGGACCGGUAGUCAAUGACGGGUAAUGAGGAUGAUAACGGCGUACCAACCUAAGACAGAAGCUGCAGCAUGCUCUGUAGUAUUUGAUGAUGGGUAAGGGUGCAAGUUGAUCAUCCCAACCUAAGACAGGCACGGUCCCUUAUCCAUACAAAUAAAUAAAGAAGGGGGAGCUGUUGGGGUCGUGCCCCUAAGAUGGCGCCGGUCGUGCCCCUAAGAUGGCCCCAGCUACAUAGCCCGAGCAGCACGGACAGCCUGAAAAACAUCCGCCCUGGCCACACGUGACCUCGUGCUCGUCACAUGAACACCGCAUGCCACCACUUCCUGCGAUCCCCAGAUACCUCCUGUUCACAUGAACACCUCUGUGAUUGGCUGUUAUGCCCUAUAUAAGGCAAGGGAAC